UACGUAGGGUGCGAGCGUUGUCCGGAAUUAUUGGGCGUAAAGAGCUCGUAGGCGGCUUGUUGCGUCGACCGUGAAAACCUGCGGCUUAACCGUGGGCGUGCGGUUGAUACGGGCGGGCUGGAGUUCGGUAGGGGAGACUGGAAUUUACGGUGUAGCGGUGAAAUGCGUAGAUAUCGUAAGGAAGACCAGUGGCGAAGGCGGGUCUCUGGACAGUUCCUGACGCUGAGGCACGAAGGCCAGGGGAGCAAACGGG
This 253-nucleotide ribosomal RNA is filed under the name uncultured bacterium. Its description in RNAcentral is "partial 16S ribosomal RNA". It matches the Rfam family "Bacterial small subunit ribosomal RNA", at positions 524 to 776 of the family's 1533-position model. The record is from RNAcentral.